AGGAGGAACAGCCUCAGUGGCGGGGCAGCUCUGGAAACCUGGAUUCAGCUCCGGCAGGAACUCCGUCUGCAGGGCCUGGAGGCUCCGGGGCGGG
This 94-nucleotide microRNA precursor is filed under the name Canis lupus familiaris (dog). Its description in RNAcentral is "mir-8834 microRNA precursor family". It matches the Rfam family "mir-8834 microRNA precursor family". RNAcentral also lists the same sequence under 1 other name. Lineage: Eukaryota; Metazoa; Chordata; Mammalia; Carnivora; Canidae. The record is from Rfam by way of RNAcentral.